AAUUAGCGGCGGACGGGUGAGUAACACGUGGGUAACCUGCCUUAUAGAGAGGGAUAGCCUUCCGAAAGGAAGAUUAAUACCGCAUAAUAUAUUUUUAUCACAUGGUAGAAAUAUCAAAGGAGUAAUCCGCUAUAAGAUGGACCCGCGGCGCAUUAGCUAGUUGGUGAGGUAACGGCUCACCAAGGCGACGAUGCGUAGCCGACCUGAGAGGGUGAUCGGCCACAUUGGAACUGAGACACGGUCCAGACUCC
This 251-nucleotide ribosomal RNA is filed under the name uncultured bacterium. RNAcentral describes it as "partial 16S ribosomal RNA". It matches the Rfam family "Bacterial small subunit ribosomal RNA", at positions 90 to 339 of the family's 1533-position model. The record is from RNAcentral.